AUAUCGAUAGUAUAAUCUUAGUACUUCUUCUUUCCAUGUAGAGGGUCUCCUUAUAGGAGUUGAUAUA
This 67-nucleotide transfer RNA is filed under the name Apharyngostrigea pipientis. Its description in RNAcentral is "tRNA-Gly". Lineage: Eukaryota; Metazoa; Platyhelminthes; Trematoda; Diplostomida; Strigeidae. The record is from RNAcentral.